Molecule: long non-coding RNA, 1510 nt
Filed under: Salmo trutta (river trout)
Lineage: Eukaryota; Metazoa; Chordata; Actinopteri; Salmoniformes; Salmonidae
Description: lncRNA (ENSSTUG00000050196.1)
Source: RNAcentral
UCUGUUUCCCAGCUGCCCUUGCUGAAGGCACUGAUUGACAGGCUGCUGCAGGACGGCAUGGAGGAGCUUCUGCUGGAGCUAACCACCUCUAGGAGAGUCAAUGAGAAGGAGAAACACGGCUCCAACAUUAUCACUGACUACACAAGAACUGUAAAGUAUGAGAUGUCCAAGGAACCUCUGACAGAGAUGGACACCAUAGAGGAGGCAGUUGAUUCUGACCUAGACAGACAGCUACCAGAACCUAACUCUGAUGCUUUGGAUGAAACGGCGGAGGGCCCCACAUUCUGGAGCCUCACCACUCUUAAUGGUCUUAAUGGGGUCCAAGACGUGGGGAGGAUAGAGAGCACCUCUGAGGGGACACUGACAGUGGACGAGGACUUCAGUGAAGCUCCCUCGCCCAAGUUGACUUUAUCAAACUCAACAUUUAACAACACUACGUCUGAAGAGAGGGUCUCUGAGGUACCAGGGGCAAUAGUAGAAACUGUUCUCCUCAGUGGGGAAGACUCCUUGAAGAAAAAGAAGAGUCGAGAACGGAAGGGCAAGGGACAGAAAGGACGACAUAAGAGGCAAAGAGAACGUCUGACGAGUACGGAGGAGGAGGAGGAAGCGGAGGAGGAAGCGGAGGAGGAGGAAUUAUACGAUGGGGAAGAGUACAGUUAUGAAUAUGAGGAUUCCACAGAUGAUCCUUUAUUGUCAAUGGAAAAGCAAGGGGAGUUUCAAAUCACAACAGAAAGCACACUACAUGGAAUGAGCAAAGAGCAGGGGGAAUUCAUCACACCUAUCCUUCCCAGCACAACGGAAGAAACAGAGAAGGACCUUUCCUUAAUCCACAAAGAUUGAGACUGUAGAUUUGUAAGCACGGAGUGUUUGUAUAUACUGUGAAGUGAAGUGUAUUGCUGGUGAGGAGCAGUCUACCCUUAACCUGACCAGCAUAACAUGAGGAGGGACUUCGCUUCGUCGCACAAUGAUGAUGUCAUUUGUCCAAUGUCACUCGUUCAAUUGCCACGUCUAUGACCAGAAUCUUUUCUUAUACUUAGUACAAGUACCUAAAAGAUGAACAAUACAUAGGUAAAGCUAAGUUAAAUCAAGACAGUGUAUUAUAUAACGAUUAUUGGACAAAUACAUUCUUCCAUCAGAUGUCAGUGUUAUUUUAGCGUUGACUUUGCAUAAACUAAUUUAUUUAUUAAAGAAGUUCAAAAUGUUACGUUGGACCUAAGCUAUAGUAUAGCUUCUCUCUGUCGCUUCAGUAUUCCAACACUUUUACCUCCUCGUAAUUUGUUCAACCAUAUUCUAAUGUUUUCAGUGUAUCGCUGCUUAUCAAUUCCUCAACCAAACGUUAUUUAUUGAAAACAUGGAAAUAGAUUGUAUUUUGUUCCUUUUCUGUAUUAGUUACUACUUUUUCCAAUGAAAUGUGUUUCCAUCAUAUUCUUCAGAAUGUAUAGUAUUGAAACCUGUUUUCACUGGUGAAAUUUUGGCAAUCUAAAGUUCUCCCUUUGUAUUUAACCUCUCU